This 86-nucleotide transfer RNA is filed under the name Hermanssonia centrifuga. Its description in RNAcentral is "tRNA-Ala". It matches the Rfam family "tRNA". Rfam says of the family: Transfer RNA (tRNA) molecules are approximately 80 nucleotides in length. Their secondary structure includes four short double-helical elements and three loops (D, anti-codon, and T loops). The record is from RNAcentral. Lineage: Eukaryota; Fungi; Basidiomycota; Agaricomycetes; Polyporales; Meruliaceae.
GGGCGCAUGGUGUAGUUGGUUAUCACAUCCGCUUAGCAUAUGUUGCUGUUUGCGGGGGGUGCUGGGUUCAAUUCCCAGUGCGUCCA